GCCCAGACUCCUACGGGAGGCAGCAGUGGGGAAUAUUGCACAAUGGGGGAAACCCUGAUGCAGCAACGCCGCGUGGGUGAAGAAGUAUUUCGGUAUGUAAAGCCCUAUCAGCAGGGAAGAGAAUGACGGUACCUGACUAAGAAGCCCCGGCUAACUACGUGCCAGCAGCCGCGGUAAUACGUAGGGGGCAAGCGUUAUCCGGAUUUACUGGGUGUAAAGGGAGCGUAGACGGCAUGGCAAGUCAGAUGUGAAAGCCCGGGGCUCAACCCCGGGACUGCAUUUGAAACUGUCAGGCUGGAGUGCAGGAGAGGUAAGUGGAAUUCCUAGUGUAGCGGUGAAAUGCGUAGAUAUUAGGAGGAACACCAGUGGCGAAGGCGGCUUACUGGACUGUAACUGACGUUGAGGCUCGAAAGCGUGGGGAGCAAACAGGAUUAGAUACCCCCGUA
RNAcentral lists this ribosomal RNA (446 nucleotides) under uncultured bacterium. Its description in RNAcentral is "bacterial SSU rRNA". It matches the Rfam family "Bacterial small subunit ribosomal RNA", at positions 329 to 792 of the family's 1533-position model. The record is from RNAcentral.